Molecule: unclassified non-coding RNA, 375 nt
Filed under: soil metagenome
Description: partial contains 5.8S ribosomal RNA, internal transcribed spacer 2, and large subunit ribosomal RNA
Rfam family: 5.8S ribosomal RNA (bases 1-120)
Source: RNAcentral
GAUGAAGAACGCAGUGAAAUGCGAUAAGUAAUGUGAAUUGCAGAAUUCAGUGAAUCAUCGAAUCUUUGAACGCAUCUUGCGCUCCUUGGUAUUCUGAGGAGCAUGCCUGUUUGAGUGUCAUUAAAUUCUCAACUACACUGACUUUGAAUUGGUGUGGCUUGGAUUUGGGGGGAAAAUUGUUGUGGGCUUUUUGUAUAGUCUGCUCCCCUGAAAUUGAUUAGCGGUACCUUUGUGGAACUGUCUACAGGUGUGAUAAUUAUCUACAUCUUAGACAUCUGCUGGAAUGCUGCUUUCUAAACCUUACUUGUAUUGACAAUCUUGACCUCAAAUCAGGUAGGACUACCCGCUGAACUUAAGCAUAUCAUAAGCGGAGGA